Molecule: ribosomal RNA, 230 nt
Filed under: uncultured bacterium
Lineage: Bacteria
Description: partial 16S ribosomal RNA
Rfam family: Bacterial small subunit ribosomal RNA
Source: RNAcentral
CGCGUAGGCGGUUUAUUAAGUUGAAUGUGAAAUCCCAGGGCUCAACCCUGGACCGGCAUUUCAAAACUGGUAGACUUGAGUAUGGCAGAGGUAAGUGGAAUUCCUAGUGUAGCGGUGGAAUGCGUAGAUAUUAGGAGGAACACCAGUGGCGAAGGCGACUUACUGGGCCAAAACUGACGCUGAGGCGCGAAAGCGUGGGGAGCAAACAGGAUUAGAUACCCUGGUAGUCC